AUUCCUGAGUGUCCCACACUGC
RNAcentral lists this unclassified non-coding RNA (22 nucleotides) under Mus musculus (house mouse). RNAcentral's name for it is "oocyte_clustered_small_RNA9849". The record is from RNAcentral. Lineage: Eukaryota; Metazoa; Chordata; Mammalia; Rodentia; Muridae.